Non-coding RNA from Pelobates cultripes (western spadefoot toad), 2849 nucleotides. NCBI's taxonomy places the organism in Eukaryota, Metazoa, Chordata, Amphibia, Anura, Pelobatidae. The record is from the annotation of a GenBank genome assembly.
AUUGAGUUAACCCCUUCAGGACCGCUGACGGUUCAGGACCGUCAGCGGUAAAACAUGCGUUUGGACCGCUGACGGUCCUUAAUCGCCAUAGCGAAAAAUGGGCUGCGGGAAGCGAUCAAACAUCACUCCCGCUGGUAUAACGCUGUAACUAUCUGCCAGACAUCCCAGGCAGAUAGUAACAGCCAAUUGCGGCGUGUGAGCGAUCCGCGAUCGCUCACAAUUGGCUGCUGUCAAAGUGGGUGUUACAAACACUCACUUUGACAGUGAUCUCUGCCCCUCUCUCCUCUGUAGCGUUUUGUGAGGCGAGAGAGAAAGAGAUUGUGAUAGUUUGUUGCAGCAGAAGUGUUCCAGAGCUUUAUACAGUAUCUAAAGUGAAUAAAAAAAUCCCCUUUGACCCCUUCCCUGCCAGAUCUGUUACAGCAGUGCAUUUGUACUGUCUGUAUUUUUUUUUGCCUUUAAAGAGUUAAAUUUGUUUUAAAAAUCUGUGUCUUGGUCUGUUUUAGUCAGUCAGUUUCCUUCCCCAAAAUCUCCAUUAGAUUUUUGUGACAGGAGUUAGUUUAGGGAUUGCUGUUUAGUCUGUUUUAGUAAAAAAAAGGAUAAAAACAAAUUUGUGUGUUUGUAAUUUGUUUUAGUCAUGUGUAAAACAUGCAGCGCAUGUAUAAUUUGCAGGAGGCAUAUGCUUUCUUGGUGUCAGACUCUGACGCCACUGACACUGCGUCAGAUUUUAAACCAGGUCAGUUUUCUGACAUGUCUAGUCAAGACGACAUGUCAUCUGUGUGUGAGCCGGCUGAAGAAAGAAGCUGUGCUUCCUCUGCUACGCUGAAUGUGGAGGAGGACUGGGUACCUCCACAGUUAGCCGAGCCCAACGUCCCCCCUUUUAGUGCCAACGCAGGCAUUAAUGUUAAUGUGGAUGGCUUCUCCCCAAUGCAGUAUGUAGAACUAUUUUUAGGGGAUACCAUCUGGGAGGAAAUUGCUUCCCAGACUAACUUGUAUGCUACCCAAUUUAUUGAUAACAAUCCAGGUAGCUAUACAGUCAGGGAGCAUGACUGGCAUCCCACAGAUGUCCCAGAGCUUAAAAAAUUCUUGGCUCUUACAAUGCUCAUGGGGAUUAUAAAGAAGCCAUCAAUUCGCUCAUACUGGAGCACCAACCCAAUAAUGUCUUGUCCAGUAUUCUCCAAAACCAUGCAUAGAGCCAGAUCAGAGUUACUGCUGAGAUUUUUACAUUUCAGUGACAAUACCCUCUGUCACCCUAGAGAUCACCCCCAAUACGAUAGGCUUUAGAAAAUACGCCCACUGCUAGACCAUUUUCAGGACAAAUUUUCGGAUGAUUAUACCCCCCAACAAAAUGUAUCCAUAGAUGAAUCUCUAAUGAAAUACAAAGAGAGAUUAGGGUUCAGACAAUACAUCCCCCUCAAAGCGCUCUAGGUAUGGCAUAAAACUGUAUAAACUGUGCGAGAGCGAAAGUGGAUACACGUUUGCCUCUCGUCUAUAUGAGGGGAAAGAUGGUCAACUGGACCCUCCUGGCUGUCCUGAGUCCCUGGGGACAAGUGGGAAACUUGUAUGGGACCUACUAAACCCCUUGUUUAAUAAAGGUUACCACCUUUAUGUGGAUAAUUUUUAUAGUAGUGUCCGUCUGUUUAAAACACUUUAUGGUUUACAGACACUGGCCUGCGGCACUGCCAGAAAAAAUUCCAAAGACUUUCCACGAUCUCUCACGAUCUUUCCACGCAAAAUGAAAAAAAGCUGAAGUGCUUGCACUAAAAUUUAGGGACAGGAAGGAUGUCAAUAUGCUAACCACCAUCCAUGACGAACGCAUGACAGACGUCUCUGUCCGGGGCAGAGUAGAGUCCAAACCGGUUUGCAUCUGGGCGUAUAAUAAGUACAUGGGGGGUGUUGAUCUGGCUGAUCAGCUGAUGCAGCCAUAUCUUAUUUUAAGAAAAACCAAAGCAUGGUAUAAAAAGGUGGCUAUCGAUAUGAUGCAAAUAGCAAUCCAUAACUCAUUUUUGCUAUUUAAAAAAAAUAAUCCAGGGAAAACCACCUUUCUCCAAUUUCAGUUGAAAAUUAUUUCUUUAACAAUUUAUGGAGAUGGACAAGUUCCAACAACGGUGCAAGCUGAGUCCAGACAUUUUAUUUUUAUGAAACCCCCCCAGAAACGUUGCCGGGUCUGUUUCAAAAACGGGAAAAGGACAGACACCCCUUUUCACUGUCACAAUUGCCCUUUGAAACCAGGACUGUGUGUAGGAACAUGUUUCAAGCUGUACCACACAGAACAGUUGUAAGAAGUGUUCCUGAAUUUUUAUUUUAUUUUUUGUUUCUUUGGAAAGCAGCCAUACUACCUCAAUGUUUGACAAAGCCUGGUGGUAGAAUUAGUGCAUGGAAAGUUUUAAAAUACCACCAUGUGAAAUACCCUAGGGUGUCUACUUUUCAAAAAUAUAUGGUUUAAUGGGGGUAAAAUACAUUGGCCGGCUUUAAAAAUGUCCCAAAUAGGACAUGCAUGCAGGUUGACUACAUGUCAAAAUUCCAAGCUGAGAAACUGAUAUGCGCACCUGCAAAAUGGGGUGUUGUUUUAACAGAAUCUGUGAAUUUAUACCUGAAUUGCAAUGUAUGUGAAAAAAAUUUAAAAAAUAAACUACCUAUGCAAAGUUUGGCAAAGGUUUGUGGUAAAAUGGCUACAUAGAAAGUAUCAAAAUAUUCUUUGAUGUAUACCCUGGGUUAUCUAGUUUAAGAAAAAUAUAUACAUGUGUGGUGUUUUUUGGAGAUUUAUGACAUAACAGUGUUACAAUGUCACUAUUAAUACAUUUGAAAAAUGUACAUUUUGAAACAGCAAUUUCCUACUUGUACUUAUAGCC